RNAcentral lists this ribosomal RNA (526 nucleotides) under uncultured bacterium. Its description in RNAcentral is "bacterial SSU rRNA". It matches the Rfam family "Bacterial small subunit ribosomal RNA", at positions 775 to 1304 of the family's 1533-position model. The record is from RNAcentral.
AGUCAAUAGAUACCCGGGUAGUCCACGCCGUAAACGAUGAACACUAGGUGUGGGUGAUGUCAAAAAAAUCAUCCGUGCCGCAGCUAACGCGUUAAGUGUUCCGCCUGGGGAGUACGGUCGCAAGGCUAAAACUCAAAGGAAUUGACGGGGGGCCCGCACAAGCAGCGGAGCGUGUGGUUUAAUUCGAUGCAACACGAAGCACCUUACCUGGGUUUGACAUGCACGUAGUAGUGAAGCGAAAGCGGAACGACUCUUCGGAGAGCGUGCACAGGUGCUGCAUGGCUGUCGUCAGCUCGUGUCGUGAGAUGUUGGGUUUAAGUCCCGCAACGAGCGCAACCCCUAUGGCUAGUUACACGUGUCUAGCCAGACGGCCGGUCGCAAACCGGAGGAAGGUGGGGAUGACGUCAAGUCAGCAUGGCCUUUAUAUCCAGGGCAACACACACGCUACAAUGGGCCGUAUAAUGGGCAGCGAAGGGGUCGACCUGGAGCGAAUCCCAACAAAGCGGUUCGUAGUUCAGAUUGCAGG